This 608-nucleotide ribosomal RNA is filed under the name Ganoderma australe. RNAcentral describes it as "partial large subunit ribosomal RNA". It matches the Rfam family "Eukaryotic large subunit ribosomal RNA", at positions 358 to 962 of the family's 3401-position model. The record is from RNAcentral. Lineage: Eukaryota; Fungi; Basidiomycota; Agaricomycetes; Polyporales; Polyporaceae.
UAAAAUGAAAAAAAAAAUUUGAAAAGAGAGUUAAACAGUACGUGAAAUUGCUGAAAGGGAAACGCUUGAAGUCAGUCGCGUUGUCCGGAACUCAGCCUUGCUUUUGCUUGGUGCACUUUCCGGAUGACGGGUCAGCAUCGAUUUUGACCGUCGGAAAAGGGCUGGAGUAAUGUGGCACCUCCGGGUGUGUUAUAGACUCUGGUCGCAUACGGCGGUUGGGAUCGAGGAACGCAGCGCGCCGCAAGGCAGGGGUUCGCCCACUUUCGCGCUUAGGAUGCUGGCAUAAUGGCUUUAAACGACCCGUCUUGAAACACGGACCAAGGAGUCUAACAUACCUGCGAGUGUUUGGGUGGAAAACCCGAGCGCGUAAUGAAAGUGAAAGUUGAGAUCCCUGUCGUGGGGAGCAUCGACGCCCGGACCAGACGUUCUCUGACGGAUCCGCGGUAGAGCAUGUAUGUUGGGACCCGAAAGAUGGUGAACUAUGCCUGAAUAGGGUGAAGCCAGAGGAAACUCUGGUGGAGGCUCGUAGCGAUUCUGACGUGCAAAUCGAUCGUCAAAUUUGGGUAUAGGGGCGAAAGACUAAUCGAACCAUCAGGCUGGUGGCAAAA